Molecule: transfer RNA, 76 nt
Filed under: bacterium
Lineage: Bacteria
Description: tRNA-Asn
Rfam family: tRNA
About the family: Transfer RNA (tRNA) molecules are approximately 80 nucleotides in length. Their secondary structure includes four short double-helical elements and three loops (D, anti-codon, and T loops).
Source: RNAcentral
UCCCUAGUAGCACAGCGGUAGUUGCACUUGACUGUUAAUCAAGUUGUCCGUGGUUCGAUCCCACGCUGGGGAGCCA